This 380-nucleotide ribosomal RNA is filed under the name uncultured eukaryote. Its description in RNAcentral is "partial 18S ribosomal RNA". It matches the Rfam family "Eukaryotic small subunit ribosomal RNA", at positions 592 to 976 of the family's 1831-position model. The record is from RNAcentral.
CAAUAGCGUAUAUUAAAGUUGUUGCAGUUAAAAAGCUCGUAGUUGGAUUUGUGGCGUACGGUGUGUUCCGGGCACUUGUUGUCUGAGUAACCUGCUGUUACCAUCCUUGGGUGGAACCUGUGUGGCAUUAGGUUGUCGUGCAGGGGAUGCCCAUCAUUUACUGUGAAAAAAUUAGAGUGUUCAAAGCAGGCUUAUGCCGUUGAAUAUAUUAGCAUGGAAUAAUGAGAUAGGACUUUUUUGCUAUUUUGUUGGUUUGCGCAAAGAGGUAAUGAUUAAUAGGGACAGUUGGGGGUAUUCGUAUUCCAUUGUCAGAGGUGAAAUUCUUGGAUUUUUGGAAGACGAACUACUGCGAAAGCAUUUACCAAGGAUGUUUUCAUUAA